CCCUGCCCCAUCUUUAUAAUGAAGCAGAUAGAACACAGUUCAAAGACGUCUAAAACCAGGCUCCACUACCACACCACACAUCAGGCGAUACACACAGGUAAAGUCCUGAACGGCGGCCAGACCAUACAAAGCACUACCACAAAUUGAAAACAAAGGACAAGUCUGCAAGGAAAUAACGCUAUUUAUUACAGCCAAGAUCAC
RNAcentral lists this long non-coding RNA (201 nucleotides) under Hordeum vulgare. Its description in RNAcentral is "long non-coding RNA (HVUL_LNC018560)". Lineage: Eukaryota; Viridiplantae; Streptophyta; Magnoliopsida; Poales; Poaceae. The record is from RNAcentral.